Molecule: long non-coding RNA, 1729 nt
Organism: Patella vulgata (common limpet)
Lineage: Eukaryota; Metazoa; Mollusca; Gastropoda; Patellidae
Exons: 6
Source: RefSeq, a predicted model, not a curated record
GAAAAGAAGACUGUCCAAGUCAUUACCAGUAUGUGCAUUCUUAUGUGUAAGUUGGAAAUAAUUAUUGAGUAAAGAAUUGAAUCCUGAUUCCAUAAUUUAAAGGAAUAUAUACACUUGAAAAACUUACUUAGUUUUAUGGAUUUAUCGGAUUAUAUGGAUUGUAUAUAUUCCUUUAACAUUUACUGCCUUUUUUUAGUAUAAACAUUUAAAUAUGGCAUUGAUUUUUGUGUUUUUUUCAAAUUCCUAUUCUUCAGAGCUGCUGACAAAUUUUAGUUUGUGUUGCUAGAUUUUGGAUUGAUAUUGUAGAUCAUACAUAUUUAUUCAUGGUAAAAUCUUCCCAACGUCAAUUUUUCUUAUGAUAGGUGGAAAUUUUCUGUAAUUUUGGUUUGAUAAAUAGUUUCUCACGUUGACAGUACAGUACAGCACAGCAAACCUCCUUUAAUGAAAAGAUUUGAAACUUAUGGACAUAAUUAUUUUUACUUUUUAAUUUAUUUAAAGGAAAAAGAGCCAGAAUUGUCUAUAAAUAAAGAGAAGUAAGCAAAUUAGUUUGUAUUGGAAUAUUGUUCUUGUUUAAAAUUGUUCACAUUUAUGCAUGGUUUUAAAAUCCAUGGUUCAAUCCUGGGCAGGAUAAGAUCCUCGGGAUUUUCCAACCCAGCUCCACUUGUAAGUGGCACAGGCCGAAGGGGCUGGCAAGGAAAAGAGUAACUUGCCCCGUUUGUAACGAGGAUUUCGAAAGGAAUGCAAUUGAAGACCAUGCUGCCUUAUGUAUUAGCCUUAUAGAAGAUGAGGAAGAACUUGUCAAAGGACUGUGUAAUGAAGCUGAUGUAGAAAGAUUAUGCCAGUGUGCCAGUGCUGAUAAUCACGCUGAAGAAUGCCACAUGAUGAGAUGUGUGAAUGCAACAGUGAUGGAAAUGUCUGAAGUGACAAAUCCUGAAUACAUUAUUGACAAGUACAUAUCGAAGUUCAUGAGAGGAAGACCGCUAGAUAUAACUGACGAAUAUGGGGUAGUGGAAGGAAAGACGGUGGAUAUUUUUGUAUCAAGGGAUAGAAUACUAGAAGAUGCCUUUUCGGAAUUGAAGGAAGCUGGGGAUAUGAGCUUCCCAAUAGAAGUUACUUUUACUGGAGAAAAAGCACUGGACUUAGGUGGACCCAGGAAGGAGUUUCUAACAUCAUGUGUACACAAUUUAAAUGACCAAUUCAUAAAGGAUGGCAUAUUAAUAACAGAAAAGGACAUUGGAAAAGACUUGUUUAUAAAGUAUGAGAAAGAAAAUGCAUUUCGAACAGCUGGUUUGUUACUUGGCUUGUCACUUCUACAAGGUGGUCUCUUACCUACACUUUUUAAAAAUCCAGAUGUGUUUUUAUCUCCCUCGAAUAAGGGAGAAGAACUCUUCAGUGAAGGCUUAGAUAAAAUAGGACUUCUACAGCUUUGCUCUAAGAAGAAAGAGAUUCCAAGGGCUAUUUGAUGUCAACAGUCCCAAAGUGAAUAUUCUCACGUAUUCAAGCUUAAUAAAGUUAUUUGAAGUUAAUUUCUCUGAAGAGGGGUCUAAUGGCAGACAGUUUGAAAUGGCCGUUUAUAGGUUGUUUCUUGAUUAUGUGAAAGAGGUUGCAGGUAUUCAAAGUUUGUUGCAGUUUGUGACUGGAUCUACAGAAGUUCCGAUUCUCGGGUAUAAACUUCCUCCUAAAAUUUGCUUUGUUGACACUGAAUCAAUUAUCCCUACAAGUAGCACUU